CCUAACACAUGCAAGUCGCACGAGAACGGGUAGCAACAGACUGAGUAACGUGGCGCACGGGUGAGUAACACGUGAAUCAUCUACCUCCGAGUGGGGAAUAACUGAGAGAACUCUUAGCUAAUACCGCAUAAUAAAGAGGAGGGUCAACGCAGCAAUGCGCUUGGAGAGGAGUUCGCGGCCGAUUAGCUAGUUGGUGGGGUAAUGGCCAACCAAGGCGAUGAUCGGUAUCCGGCCUGAGAGGGCGCACGGACACACUGGAACUGAAACACGGUCCAGACUCCUACGGGAGGCAGCAGUGGGGAAUUUUGCGCAAUGGGGGAACCACUGACGCAGCAACGCCGCGUGGAGGAUGAACUCACGGGGGGAUGUAACCUCCUUUCGAUAGGGAAGAUUAUGACGGUACCUAUAGAAGAAGCCACGGCUAACUUCGUGCCAGCAGCCGCGGUAACAGAGAGGGGGGCAAGCGUUGUUCGGAAUUAUUGGGCGUAACGGGUGCGUAGGCGGUUUGGCAAGUCUGAUGUGAACUCUAUGGGCUCAACUCAAAGUCUGCAUCGGAACCUGCCGGGCUUGAGUAUGGGAGAGGUGAGUGGAAUUUCCGGUGUAGCGGUGAACUGCGUAGAUAUCGGAAGGAACACCUGUGGCGAACGCGGCUCACUGGACCAUAACUGACGCUGAUGCACGAACGCUAGGGGAGUAACCAGGAUUAGACA
This 710-nucleotide ribosomal RNA is filed under the name uncultured bacterium. RNAcentral's name for it is "bacterial SSU rRNA". It matches the Rfam family "Bacterial small subunit ribosomal RNA", at positions 47 to 784 of the family's 1533-position model. The record is from RNAcentral.